GAGGCUUCUGAUGCUUAUUGCACCACAUGUGUUUUUCUUUGAAACAAACUUGCUUUGGCGGUGGGCCCAGCCUGCCGCCAGAGGUCUAAACUUACAACCAAUUUUUUAUCAACUUGUCACACCAGAUUAUUACUAAUAGUCAAAACUUUCAACAACGGAUCUCUUGGUUCUCGCAUCGAUGAAGAACGCAGCGAAAUGCGAUACGUAAUAUGAAUUGCAGAUAUUCGUGAAUCAUCGAAUCUUUGAACGCACAUUGCGCCCUCUGGUAUUCCGGAGGGCAUGCCUGUUUGAGCGUCGUUUCUCCCUCAAACCGCUGGGUUUGGUGUUGAGCAAUACGACUUGGGUUUGCUUGAAAGACGGUAGUGGUAAGGCGGGAUCGCUUUGACAAUGGCUUAGGUCUAACCAAAAACAUUGCUUGCGGCGGUAACGUCUACCACGUAUAUCUUCAAACUUUGACCUCAAAUCAGGUAGGACUACCCGCUGAACUUAAGCAUAUCAAAAGCCGGAGGAA
RNAcentral lists this ribosomal RNA (511 nucleotides) under Candida albicans. RNAcentral describes it as "eukaryotic LSU rRNA". The stretch from base 144 to 297 matches the Rfam family "5.8S ribosomal RNA". The record is from RNAcentral. Lineage: Eukaryota; Fungi; Ascomycota; Pichiomycetes; Serinales; Debaryomycetaceae.